RNAcentral lists this ribosomal RNA (459 nucleotides) under uncultured bacterium. RNAcentral's name for it is "partial 16S ribosomal RNA". It matches the Rfam family "Bacterial small subunit ribosomal RNA", at positions 338 to 795 of the family's 1533-position model. The record is from RNAcentral.
CCUACGGGUGGCAGCAGUGAGGAAUAUUGGUCAAUGGCCGGAAGGCUGAACCAGCCAAGCCGCGUGAAGGACGAAGGUGCCAAGCAUUGUAAACUUCUUUUGUCAAGGGACAAAAUCAGGCUCGAGAGCCUGACCGAGGGUACUUGAAGAAAAAGCAACGGCAAACUCCGUGCCAGCAGCCGCGGUAAUACGGAGGAUGCGAGCGUUAUCCGGAUUUAUUGGGUUUAAAGGAAGCGUAGGCGGACUGUUAAGUCAGCGGGAAAAGCCCGGGGUGAAACCCCGGCGAGCCGUUGAAACUGGCUGGCUCGAGAUGUCGAGAGGUGUGUGGAAUGCGCGGUGUAGCGGUGAAAUGCUUAGAUAUUGCGAGGAACUCCGGUGGCGAAGGCAGCAUACCGGCGGCGAUCUGACGCUGAGGCGCGAAAGCGUGGGUAUCGAACAGGAUUAGAUACCCGGGUAGUC